This 599-nucleotide small RNA is filed under the name Drosophila pseudoobscura pseudoobscura. RNAcentral describes it as "GA31866". The record is from RNAcentral. Lineage: Eukaryota; Metazoa; Arthropoda; Insecta; Diptera; Drosophilidae.
CACUUGCUUAUUUAUUCCCCAUUUUCAUUCUCAAGCAAAGAGUUGUCACGUUCAACUCCGAAAUUAUUUUUUGUAUUCCCAUCAAAACCGACGAAACAAAAUGUCUAGGAACAACAGCGUUAUCAAGCGAUUUGAUAGGCCAAGUGGACACGAGACCGGUAGGACACUGAUGGAAGAAAGCUACAGAGGAGACGCUUGGUGAGACGCGGAGAUGUUGAAGACUCCUCUCCUGAUACAAUUCUGCGCAUGCACCUCAGGAGGCUUAGUAGCGAGAACAGCCAUCGCAGGGGAGCGGAAGGGAUUGGCAUGGAUCGCGCCCUGUCUCCGAGCAUGGCUACCGGCCAUAAGUCUCGCAAAUUGACCAAAGUGUGCAAAACUGGAAACCACUCGAGCACCAAGGACCGCAAUUCGGGUACCGCUCGUGUCAAGUACAGCAAGAAUUCCCAGUUACGCACCAAGAUCUGCUUAAGCUGUAUGCGAAAAAUGCUGUCCAAAAUUAAUACAACCUCUUGAUACAGACAUCAAAAUUUAAGGUUUAGUUCAAAAUAUUUAGUUUUUUUUUUUAAAGUUAAUUCAAAACACUAAAACUUGAGUACAUA